GAAUGAGGAGCCUCCGCGCUUUCGGCGCCAUUUUCGAGUGAUGCCUGAUCUCAUCAAUCUAGCGGGAGAGACAGGAUAACCUGUCCGAGAGUAUAGCGCCACUAUGACUCCGCCGGAAAAAUUACUUUAAAAAUCGCCAAAAAUUACUUGGAGCAAAGGGCAGUCGGCGGAGCUUCGCCAAAGCUGGCGCAGUCGGUUUUGACCUGUAGCAGAGAACCAAUUCUGGAGAACAGCCUCACUUCUUUGAUUGAAUACUCACAUAAUGCAUUGGAACAUGACAUGAGAUUAAGGUUUAAUAAUGAUAGAAUGAAGACCAUAAUAAAAGAGACCUCUACUUAGCAAUUCUUACCUUUUACUUUGGCUGGGUGCAGUGACUCACGCCUGUAAUCCCAGCACUUUGGGAGGCUGAGGUGAGCAGAUCAUGAGGUCAGGAGUUCGAGACCAGCCUGUCCAACAUGGUAAAACCCUGUCUCUACUAAAAAUAUAAAAAUUAGCUGGGCAUGGUGGCCGGCACCUGUAGUCCCAGCUGCUUGGGAGGCUGAGGCAGGAGAAUUGCUUGAAACCAGAAGGCAGAGGUUGCAGUGAACCGAGAUCACGCCACUGCACUCCCGCCUGGGCGAAGGAGUGAAACUCUGUCUCAAAAAUAAAUAAAUAAAUAACAAAAAUUAGCCAGGCAUGGUGGCGUGCACCUGUAAUCACAGCUACUCAGGAGGCUGAGGCAGGAGAAUUGCUUAAACCUGGAAGGUGGAGGUUGCAGUGAGCUGAGAUUGCACCAUUGCACUCCAGCCUGGGUGACAGAGCAAGACUCCAUCUCAAAAAAAAAAUAAAAAGAAAAAAACAAGUUACUUUAAAAUGUCUUAUAAAAUCUCAGUUUCUUAUAGUAAAACUAUUUGUAGCUAAUGAAAAUGAAGUUUUGAUACAUUUAACAGUAUUACCACUAAGAAUGCCAUCCUUUCAAGUACUCUACCACUGGUCAAAUUUCAGAACCUCAGUUUAAAAUGUUUGGGGAGGCCAGAUAUGGUGGCUUAUGCCUGUAAUCCCAGCACUUUGGGAGGCUGAGGCAGGUGGAUUACUUGAGGUCAGGAGCUCAAGACCAGCCUGGCCAACAUGGUGAAACCCAGUCUCUACUAAAAAUACAAAAAUUAGCCAGGCGUGGUGGUGGGUGCCUAUAAUCUCAGCUACUGGGGAGGCUGAGGCAGGAGAAUAGCAUGAACGCCGGUGGUAGAGGUUGCAGUGAGCCAAGAUCAAGCCACUGCACUCCAGCCUAGGCAGCAAGAGCGAGACUCCAUCUCAAAAAAUAUGUUUAGGGAAACAGCCGGGCAUGGUGGCUCACACUUGUAAUCCCAGCACUUUGGGAGGUCGAGACAGGUGGAUCACUUGAGGUCAGGAGUUCAAGACCAGUCUGGCCAACAUGGUGAAACCUCGUCUCUACUAAAAAUACAGAAAUUAGCCAGUCAUGGAGGCACGUGCCUGUAAAUCCCAGCUACUUGGGAGGCUGAGGUGAGAGAAUAGCUUGAACCUGAAAGGUGGAGGCUGCAGUGAGCUGAGAUCCCACCACUGCACUCCAGCCUGGGCAACAGCACGAGACUCCAUCUCAAAAAAAUAAAUAAAAUGUUUAGGGAAACAAUGUCUGAAUUAAAAUUCAGAACACCUCAAUUUUAAAUUAUUAUUUUUAGUUUUUGUAUCCUUAGUUCAGCUGUUUGUUUCUUUAUGCCUCUAGUAUUUGGUGCUCUGUAGUCAGAACUUAAAACUGGCAAUCUGUCCUCGAAAUCCUUAACAAGACAAAAUAGUAAAGUACACUAAAUUUUUCUAAGUCAAUUUUGUUUUAAAUUGAACUUUAUUAAUUUUAUUUUGACCCUAGAAUAUUAGAAUUAGAACCAUAGUAAACAAAUGUUUUCCUUUACGUUAUAAAUUACAUUUAUGUUAAUUAAAAUAAGUUUCUCAUCAGAGGGCAGGUUUCAACUUAGUACAGUAAGUCCUCACUUAAAGUAAUGAAUAGAUUCUUGGAAACUGCAGCUUUAAGAUAAAUAACAUAGAAUAAAACCAGUUUCACCAUAGGCUAAUUGAUAUAAACAAGAGUUAAGUUCCUACAGCCUAUUACUGGUCACAAAGAACAUCACCUUCUAAAUAAAGAUACAACACAUUUCUGGUAUUAAAUAUUGUGAAAUAAAUGUGAGUUGUACAUACAUUUAAGAAAGUUUAAUAGAAACAAGAUCAUCAUUUACCCAAUUUUUGAUGAGUCAGUGAGCGAUGAUGGUCAUAGUGGUGGUGAGUUAAAAUAAGGAAAUGUUUGUAAAGUGGAAAUUGUAAGGAGCACCUUCUACCACCAUGUUGUUCAAAAACAAGCAAUAACAAAUAUGGCAUGCUUGCUGAGCAGUUUCAUACUACAUCAUUUGUUGUUGUGCAUUUGUAUGAUGAUUGUAUAUUUGACAAGUUUUUAUUUUGCAAUAAUUUACAUUCAUUCAUUUUCCAACCCACUUACUCCACUUUGGGGUUGCAGGUGGCUGGAGCCUAUCCUAGAAGCUCAGGAUGCAAGGUGGGAACCAACCUGGAUAGGAUGCCAUUCCAUCACAGGGUGUCCUCCUACCCCCAUACUCAGCCAUACUGAGACAAUUUAGAUGUGCCAACUAACAUAACAUGCACAUCUUUGGGAUGUGGGAGAAAACCCAUGCAGACAUGGGGAGAACGUGGAAACUCCACACACUGUGGCCCCAGACAGAAAUCUCUGCAUUUUUCCUCUUCAGUGUUAAAAAUGAAAUGAUGUUGAAUGAAACAUCAUUUGAAGAUCUUCUGUUUAUAACUUUGUUCUCUGGCCCUAGAUCUACUGUCUAAAAAUUGUUUUUAUGUCUUUUCUCUAAGCUGUACAUUCUCAGGUCUUUCCACUGUUGUCAUAGCAUUAAUUUCUAGACCAUAUUUUUUCUAGACCAUAUUAAUUUCUAGACCAAUAUUUUCUGGAUACCCUACUUUGGAUCUGUUACAUUUUGUUAGUAUUCCUUUUAAAAUAAUUGUAUUUAGAAUUAAUUGCAAUAUACUUAAUGUGGUAUAGGUACAAAACGCACUGCAUCUAUGAAUAAAGUUCUAUAGUGCAGUCUGAUUGCACUAGCUUUUUUUUUUCAUCAAUACUAUCGGGUCAUGUUGAGCUGCAGUUCACUGAAACACUUAAGUGUGUUAGAAUUUCAAAUCCUGUAAAUUUAGAUUCGGUAGGCAUUUGUUGAACACCUGUUCACUACUAGAUGUGCUUGUAUAAAUUUCUACUGUUUAUUUUACCGAUAGUAAGUUUAAAAUGUAGAAAUUGACCAGUAGAUUUAUUGCACUGAGGAUGAUUCUAUAGUUUAGGAGACAUGACUAGAAUUUCAAUGAGAACAGAUUGUAAGGACAGAAAUAAAUUUAAAAAAAGAAUUUCUAAAUGGUUUUGUUAAAUGCAAUAACAACUUUAUGUAUACUACAGAUGAACUGAUAAUAGAGCACAUGUAAGAAAAUGUCUAAAAAAUGUUAUUGGAAAUAAAAUUAGAGCUGUAAAUCAUUAACAAGGAAAAAACUAACUUAUAUACAAUUUAUUGUUUCCAUAUUUCUUAAAAUAUAUUAAAUUCUAACUUAGAAAACCAACUUAAGAGAUUUAAAGAUUCCCAUCUACUCAGAUUUAUUAUAUUCAGGUUGAAUUAUUACGCAAGACAUUGAAUUUACUUAUUUUGUCUCACCAUUCAAUAUAACUACUUUUUUUUGUUGGAAGAUUAUAAGAAUGGAGAGUUCUGGCAUAUCAGAGGCCCACAGCCCAGAAUAUAAACCACCAGACUUGGAACUAUGGUUGUUGUAUAAAGGAUAAGGACUGAAUGAUUCUGUCUUCGGAAUAUUUUUGUAUUUUUUUUUAGAAGGUCUUUUCUUUGGCUCUACAUCUAGCCAUUAGGGCUCUUUCUGUAUCUGGUUAGGGAAAGUGGCUUUUCUUUCAGCCAGCAAAUGUAAAAGCAGACAUUUAAGGGAUGGAGUCACGGUGAUAGUUCCAGUGGACUAAGAUAAAGCAUUGAAGAAAUGGCAUAGUCUAUACUAGUAAAGAUUUCCUCACAGCUAGUCCAUUUUGAAUGGAGAGAUAAGUAUGGAAUAGGGAACCAGUUAUCUGCCCAGCACAGUACCUAAUAAUGAGAAUAGUUUUUCUAUUCAAAAGUUCUUAGUGGUUGUUAAUGUUUUAAAAGAGACCAUUUAACUGGAAUGGAAGUGUUUUCUUUGGAGAAAAGCAGGAAACAUUGGAUAGAUCUUAAUUAUACAGACCUUGAUACUUAGGCAGAAAGUAGAGAUUCUACUUAGGAAACUAGAAAUUAACUUUUUUUUUUUUUUUUUGAAACAAGGUUUUGCUCUGUCACCUGGGCUGGAGUGCAGUGUAGUGGCAUGAUUAUGGCUCAGUGCUGCAUCAAACUCCUGGGCUCAAGUGAUUCCUCCCACUUCAGCUCCUGAGUAGCUGGUAUUACAGAUGCCCAGCUGAUUUUUAAAUUUUUUGUGUGUGGGGCGCUAAAUGAUGAGAGCACAUGGACACAUAGAGGGGAACAAUACACACUGUGGUCUUUUGGAGGGUGGAGGGUGGGAGGAUGGAGAGGAUCAAGAAAAAUAACUAAUGGGUACUAGGCUUAAUACCUGGGUGAUGAAAUAAUCUGUGCAACAAACUCCCAUGACAGGCCUGGCAUGGUGGCUCACGCCUGUAGUCCCAGCACUUUGGGAGGCUGAGGUGGGUGUAUCACUUGAGGUCAGGAGUUUAAGACCCGCCUGGCCAACAUGGCAAAACCCCAUCUCUACUAAAAAUACAAAAAAGUUAGCCCGACUUGAUGGCGCUGGCCUGUAAUCCCAGCUACUCAGGAGGCUGAGGCAGGAGAAUCACUUGAACCUGGGAGGUGGAGGUCACAGGGAGCCGAGAUUGAGCCACAGCACCCCAGCCUGGGCAACAGAGUGCAACUCUGUUUCAAAAAAAAAAAGCAAACAAAAAAAAACCUCCCAUGAUAAAAGUUUACCUACGUAACAAACCUGCAGUUGUACCACUGAACUUAAAAUAAAAGUUAAAAAAUAAUAAUAAUUUUUUUGUAGAGAUGGGGUGUUGCUAUGUUGCCCAGGCUGGUCUCUCAAAUUCCUGGGCUCAAUCCUCCGACCUCAGCCUCCAAAAGUGCUGGGAUUACAGGUAUGAGCCACCUCAUCCAGUCUAGAUACAUUCUUGAAUAUGUAACUUUGGGAAGAUUUAUUAAUUGAUUAAGGACUAGGAGGUCCAGCUAAAAUGCAAUUGGAUUUAUAAGGUACUUAAAUCUAGAUUUAAGGUAUGAAAUCAAGAAUGGCGAAGAAAUCAAUGAACUGAGGUCUUAAAGAAUCAAUUCGUUUUAUUGACUAGCUGAAUACAAGGGAUGAUUGACACAAGAUGAAAAUUGAGUGUUAAGAAAGCAUAACAAUGGGCAAGUAUGAAUGAUUAGGACAUAAAAGGGAGCAAAAGAAGAAUGUAAGAAAAAAAUGUAAAUAGCAUAUUUAUCAAACCUUUUAUAUUGCAUUUCUUGACUAACAUGAUAUAUUUGUAAUUUAGUUACACUUAGUAUUUAGGAAGUAAAGUCAUCAAAUAAAAUAUGAAUGUUUGAUUUCUAAGAAGUUUAACUUUUUGUAUAAGGAAAUGAUUAUAAGAGAAUCUAAUAUUAAAAUAACAUUUGGGGGGCUUGUGUAUAUAGUCUGACUUUCUGGAAUAAAUUUUCCAGAUUGAAAUCUACUUCAUACACAGUUUUUAAGCAAUCUUUAAGUCAUUUUUUCAUCAGAAGAAAUCAAGGCAGUUUAGAAACAGUAAAACUUUAUAUUUGCCUAAACUCAACAGCUAGGUUUUUUAUAUUAUAAAACAGUCAUGUUGGAUUAAAUCUGAUUAUUAUUUUAUUGAAUGCGUAUUCCUAACACUGAAUUUUAAAGGUAUCUUCUCUAGUUAAUAGAGCCUUUUUGUUUUUAAGUAUUUAUAUUCCAGAAACAAGAAUCAAGCAAAAGCACAUUUUAAUCUUUCCUGUAAAUGUUAUAUAUUUGGACACUUUAUAAGACUUCAUAGUAGGGUAAUAAAAAAAAAUUACCAUGUUUCACCAGUCAUGGUGGCUCAUACCUGUAAUCCCAGCACUUUGCAACACAAAGGCGGAAGGAUCAUUUGAGGCCAUGAGUUUGAGACCAACCUGGCCAACAUGAUGAAACCACGUCUGUAAAAAAAAAAAAAAUACAAACCUUAGCUGGACGUGGUGGCACAGACCUGUAGUCCCAGCUACUUGGGAGGCUGAGGUGGAAGGAUAGCUUCAGCCUGAGAGGAGGAGGUUGCAGUGAGCUGAGAUCAUGCUAUUGUACUCCAGCCUAGGUGACAAAAGAAGACUCUGUCUCAAAAAAAAAAAAAAAAAAAAUUACCAUGUUUAGUGAAAUUGUCGUGCAUUUAUUUUAGACCCCAUAACUCAGGCCUUUACAUAAAGAUAUUAAAGAAUAGCUAUUUAUAAAUUUUCCAUCUGGUAUAAUACUGACAUACUGUGUAUUAUUCCACUGUCAUUAAGCAAGGAUAGUCAUUCUGUGGCCCAGGCACUGUAUAUACAUACACAGUUCCUUAGAGCUUCAAGUGCAGAAUAGAUUUAAGGUAUAUUUGGAGGAUGUAUUACAGAUUGUGUUGAUGCUGGAUUGAAAGUAAAAUUAAAUGUUCAGAAAACCUAAAGUAAUGUAGUGCCAUAUAAGGACAUGUCUAAACAACAAGCUAGCAAAACCAUAUUGAUGGCAUGUAUUAGUAUCUGAAUAUCCCUAUCAUGUGAGUAGAAAUAGUCUAAACUUAUAGACUCAAGGAAAUUUUAAAUUUAAAAUAGUCCCUUUUUUUAAGGCAUAGUAUAAAACCUACUUUGGCAGCCCCUAAUGCGAAGAUAAGUGGAAAGGAAAAAUCAAACCAUACCACACUGGGAAGAGAUUAUUAUUGUUAUUGAACACAAGAAAAAAAAGAGAUAUAUCUUCUCUAUGUGCCUGGAAUUGUUCCACUGAAUCUUUCAAUUUGUUAAUACAUUUAAAUCAAGAAUUUUCAUAUUUUUUUCUGGAGAAUUAUAAUAAAUAUUUUAAUAGUUUAAAUGUUUCAGGCUUUCAAAUAUAAAUCAGAUAGUUAGAAAUAAAAGGAAAAUAGACAAGGAAAAAGUCUUCCUCCAUGGUGGUUUACUAAAACAUCAGUGAUAAAAUUGCAAUGUUAUUACAGAUAGUAACAGUCUUUAAGAGAUAAAAUUAUGUGGAGAUAAAUUGUAGCACGUUUGCUGAUAAGAAUCAUGCAACAGAGAGGAAGAUUAAAGAUGUAGGAGAAUAUCUAAAGGAAUAUCCUUAAGUAAGUAAGUGAGGAUCAAAGAGAAGGAAUUUGUCUUAUGAACAGUGAGGGUUCGUUGAUACUAGAAAGAAGUAAGAGUUGUAUGCACACAGAUACAUGUUAGAUUUGGUGGGAACUGAGGAAAUUUCUGAUAGUUUCUGUUUUCUCAAUGAAAGUAAAAAUGAAAGGGAAAGUGUUCUAAGUUUGAAAGAAGAGAGGGGACACAGCUGUCUGAUGUGUUUCUAGGCGAAUUAGAGAUUGAAUGGACCGAGAUUGCCAGAAAGCCCUUAAACCAAUUUUAGAUAUAAAAGAUAAUAGUAAAGAAAAAUUAUCUCUUCACAGAUGACACAAUCAUUGUAUCUAGAAAACCCUUAAGAUUCCACCAAAAACGGUUAGAACUAAUGAAUUUAGCAAAGUUGUAUGAUACAAAAUCACACAAAAAUCAAUUGUGUGUCUGUUCACUAACAAUGUACAAUUCAAAAAGGAAAUUUAAACAAUUCCAUUUAUAAAACAAAAAGAAUAAAAUAUUUGGGGAUAAACGUAACCAAGGAGGUAAAAGACUUGUGUACAGCAACUACAAAAAAAAUUGCUGAAAGAAAUUAAAGACAAUAAAUAAAUGGAAAGGCAUCCCACAUUUAUGGAUUGGAAGACUUAAUAUUGUUAAAAUGACAGUACUACCCAAAAUGAUCUACAGGUUGAAUGCAAUUCCUAUCAAAAUCCUAAAUUUCGUUUAACAGAAAUGGGAAAAUUUAUUCUCACAUUCAUGUGGAAUCUCAAAGGACAUGAAAUAACCAAAACAAAUUUUAAAAAGAGAGUCAGAGGUCUCACUACCUGAUUUCAAAACCUCCUACAAAGCAUAAAGCUAGACAUAUAGAUUCAUGAAAAUAGACCCGAGGGCCCACAAAUAAACCCUUGCAUAUAUUUUCAAGUGAUUUUCACCAAAGGUGCCAAGAAGUACCAAAGAUCCUCAUUCAGUAAAGAAAGGACUCUUCAACAAAUGGUAUUGGGAAAAUUGGAUAUCCAUACCAGAAAAGAACAAAGUUGUUCCCUUAUCAUACACCAUAUACAAAAAGUAACUAAAAAUUAAUUUCUAAAUCAAAGACCUAAGCAUAAGAGUUAAAAAAUACGAAACUCUUAGAAGAAAACAAAGGGCAAAAGCUUCAAGACAUUGGAUUUGGCAGUGAUUUCUCAGAUAUGACACCAAAAGCACAGACAAAACAAGUAGAUCAAUUGGACUUCAUCAAAAUUUAAAACUUCUGGCCAGGCGCCGUGGCUCACACCUGUAAUCCCAGCACUUUGGGAGGCCGAGGCAUGUGAAUCACAAAGUUAGGAGUUUGAGACCAGCCUGGCCAACGUGGUGAAACAACAUAAAAAUUGGCAGGGUGUGGUGGCGGGAACCUGUAGUCCUAGCUACUCGGGAGGCUGAGGCAGGAGAAUCGCUUGAACCUGGGAGGCGGGAGAUUGCAGUGAGCCAAGAUCGCACCGCUGCACUCCACCCUGGACAACAGAAUGGGACUCCAUCUCAAAAAAAAAAAAAAAAAAUGUAAACUUCUGUGCAUCAAAGGACACUAUUACUGUGAAAAGUCAGUCUACAGAAUCGGAGAAAAUAUUUGCAAAUCAUGUAUCUAAUAAGAGAUUAAUAUCCAGAAUGUAUAAACUCAAUAAAAAGUAAACAACCCAGUCAAAAAAUGGGCAAAGGACUUACAUAGACAUUUCUCCAAAGAAGAUGUACAAUUGGCCAGCAAACACAAGAUGCUCAACAUCACUAUUCAUUAGGGAAAUGGAAGUGAAAACCACAAUGAGAUACCACUUCAUUUUCAUUAGAAUGGCUAUUAGCAAAAACAAAACCAGAAAAUAACAUGUUGGCAAGGAUGGGAGAAGUUGUAAAUUGCUGGUGAGAAUGUAAAAUGGUGUAGCCACUGUAGAACACAGUAUGGCAGUUUCUCAAAAAAAAUUAAAAA
Long non-coding RNA from Pongo pygmaeus (Bornean orangutan), 9264 nucleotides. RefSeq lists it as uncharacterized. The transcript is spliced from 4 exons. NCBI's taxonomy places the organism in Eukaryota, Metazoa, Chordata, Mammalia, Primates, Hominidae. The record is from RefSeq and is a predicted model, not a curated record.